UACGGAGGAUGCAAGCGUUAUCCGGAUUUAUUGGGUUUAAAGGGUGCGCAGGUUGUUUGAUAAGUCAGUGGUGAAAGUCUGUCGAUUAACGGUAGGAUUGCCAUUGAUACUGUUAGACUUGAAUAUGGAUGAGGUAGGCGGAAUGUGUAGUGUAGCGGUGAAAUGCAUAGAUAUUACACAGAACACCGAUUGCGAAGGCAGCUUACUAAUCCAUCAUUGACGCUGAGGCACGAAAGCGUGGGGAUCAAACA
RNAcentral lists this ribosomal RNA (251 nucleotides) under uncultured prokaryote. RNAcentral describes it as "partial 16S ribosomal RNA". It matches the Rfam family "Bacterial small subunit ribosomal RNA", at positions 524 to 774 of the family's 1533-position model. The record is from RNAcentral.